This 254-nucleotide ribosomal RNA is filed under the name uncultured bacterium. RNAcentral describes it as "partial 16S ribosomal RNA". It matches the Rfam family "Bacterial small subunit ribosomal RNA", at positions 524 to 776 of the family's 1533-position model. The record is from RNAcentral.
CACGUAGGGUGCGAGCGUUGUCCGGAAUUAUUGGGCGUAAAGAGCUCGUAGGCGGUGUGUCGCGUCGGCCGUGAAAACUUGCAGCUUAACUGUGGGCGUGCGGUCGAUACGGGCAUCACUGGAGUUCGGCAGGGGAGACUGGAAUUCCUGGUGUAGCGGUGAAAUGCGCAGAUAUCAGGAGGAACACCGGUGGCGAAGGCGGGUCUCUGGGCCGAUACUGACGCUGAGGAGCGAAAGCUAGGGGAGCGAACAGG